Molecule: long non-coding RNA, 663 nt
Filed under: Lepisosteus oculatus (spotted gar)
Lineage: Eukaryota; Metazoa; Chordata; Actinopteri; Semionotiformes; Lepisosteidae
Description: lncRNA (ENSLOCG00000021116.1)
Source: RNAcentral
ACAGCCCAGGAUGUUUUGCUGGAGACUAAGGUAGACGUUUGUAUUGUUAAAAUUCCCUGAUCGAUACCACAGACAUAAGCCUUACUGAGACAGGAAGUGUUUACCCAGACAGGGAGAAGUAAGAAUAAUCCAGUAAAACUGCCAAACAAGUGAACUGCUUUAGAAAAUAUAUAAACUAUAUUAUAUUAUGGCUUUUCUGUGACACAAGCCCAGACUGAAGCAAUCUCCUAGAAAGAAACUUCAUAUAGAUCCAAAAGGUGAGACAAGGCUGUGUGCAUAGGUUGAUUGUAAGAGUAGUGUUGGACACAAGCAGGAAUGUCAGAGCUCCCUGGAUUGCUCUGGGUGAGACUGACCGAGGCUUGUCCAGGACCUCAGGUAGAGCAGGCCAGGACAUUCUCCUGGGUGACAUCUGUUGUGCUCUGUGUCCAGCAGCGUCCAGCACUGGCAACAGGCAGAGAGCAGCAGGCCAGGAACAUAAGAACAUCAGAAAGGGUACAGGUGCUGUCUACCUCCUCUCUGUCUGGAGUUCGACCCAAAGAAGACCCGUCAUUGCUUCCUCAGAGUCCAGAAAGGCCUGCGUUGGACCGGACAGAGACACUGGUUCUUGGUCCUCCUGGUCCUCAGCUAAAGUUAAUCCAAGAACUGAGCUACAGCUCAUUUUGA